RNAcentral lists this ribosomal RNA (841 nucleotides) under Escherichia coli. RNAcentral's name for it is "partial 23S ribosomal RNA". It matches the Rfam family "Bacterial large subunit ribosomal RNA", at positions 911 to 1751 of the family's 2925-position model. Lineage: Bacteria; Pseudomonadati; Pseudomonadota; Gammaproteobacteria; Enterobacterales; Enterobacteriaceae. The record is from RNAcentral.
UGUUUCGGCAAGGGGGUCAUCCCGACUUACCAACCCGAUGCAAACUGCGAAUACCGGAGAAUGUUAUCACGGGAGACACACGGCGGGUGCUAACGUCCGUCGUGAAGAGGGAAACAACCCAGACCGCCAGCUAAGGUCCCAAAGUCAUGGUUAAGUGGGAAACGAUGUGGGAAGGCCCAGACAGCCAGGAUGUUGGCUUAGAAGCAGCCAUCAUUUAAAGAAAGCGUAAUAGCUCACUGGUCGAGUCGGCCUGCGCGGAAGAUGUAACGGGGCUAAACCAUGCACCGAAGCUGCGGCAGCGACGCUGAUGCGUUGUUGGGUAGGGGAGCGUUCUGUAAGCCUGCGAAGGUGUGCUGUGAGGCAUGCUGGAGGUAUCAGAAGUGCGAAUGCUGACAUAAGUAACGAUAAAGCGGGUGAAAAGCCCGCUCGCCGGAAGACCAAGGGUUCCUGUCCAACGUUAAUCGGGGCAGGGUGAGUCGACCCCUAAGGCGAGGCCGAAAGGCGUAGUCGAUGGGAAACAGGUUAAUAUUCCUGUACUUGGUGUUACUGCGAAGGGGGGACGGAGAAGGCUAUGUUGGCCGGGCGACGGUUGUCCCGGUUUAAGCGUGUAGGCUGGUUUUCCAGGCAAAUCCGGAAAAUCAAGGCUGAGGCGUGAUGACGAGGCACUACGGUGCUGAAGCAACAAAUGCCCUGCUUCCAGGAAAAGCCUCUAAGCAUCAGGUAACAUCAAAUCGUACCCCAAACCGACACAGGUGGUCAGGUAGAGAAUACCAAGGCGCUUGAGAGAACUCGGGUGAAGGAACUAGGCAAAAUGGUGCCGUAACUUCGGGAGAAGGCACGC